Non-coding RNA from Odocoileus virginianus texanus, 573 nucleotides. The record is from RefSeq and is a predicted model, not a curated record. NCBI's taxonomy places the organism in Eukaryota, Metazoa, Chordata, Mammalia, Artiodactyla, Cervidae.
CCUAUGUCUAAGGGCAAAGGAGAAGCCCUAACAAGAUGAUCAGUGGACCCUUCCCUGUGAGUCUCAGACACUGGAGGACACAGGAUACGACAAGGAGUCCUGGGAUCCAUGUGACCACCAUGCUCUAGGGAAGAAGGUCAGCAAGCUUUUCUGAAAACUUAAAAAAAAAUAAGACAAAGAAUACACUUUUUAUUUUUGGAAAUUCAUCUUGAUUUCCUAGGGCUACUGCAGUGAAUUAUCACAAGCCUGGUGGCUUGAAACAACAGAAAUGUGUUCUCUCACAGUUCCGGAGGUCAGCGUUUUGAAACAAGAUGUCAGCAGGACUGUGUUGUCUCUGAUGCCCCGGGGAGGCCCCUUUGUCUCUUUUAGCUUCUGGAGGCGCCUUAGCUGUGUUAGCCAACUCAGGCUUGUGUGCUCAUUCCUCAAGAGGCCGAACACUGAGAGAUGAAUGUUGGGCUUUGCCCGGGACAAGGUGCUGCACCUCCGCUGUGAACACAAUCAUCACCCACGUCUGUGCAUCAGCCCAUGGUGGGCAGCGGGUUGGAAAAUAUACUAAUAAACGUUUCCACCAUU